AAAUUACCUAUAAUAACUCAUAUUUCUUGUGUAAUGACUAGAUUAACACACAAAAAGAGAAAAGGAAAAAAAUACCAGCAAAAGUCUAAAAUAACCCUAUCAAAUAACUGAAUUAAACAAAAAAAGAAUUUUUUAAGUAAAAUUUUCAUUUAUUUAAAACACUUGGAGUGGAAUUUUUUUUUCUUUAAAGUUCACUCCCCAGCCCCCUAAGUUGUAACCCAUGAACCCUAAAUCCCUCGAUUUCUCAAAUUCCUCAGUUUAACAUGAUUUCACCUUGAUUCGAUCUUGUUUGCACUUUCUUGGCGCAACGUAAGCGUAGCCAAGCUAGUGACACUGUUCGUUGAUUAAGUAAAUGGAAGAAGAAGGGAAGCAUAUAACAUGUUGUCUGUGAUUGUUUGCGGCGGAAAGAGAUCUCUGUUUGAGACUUCUUCUCCUCCCCUCUCAAAGAAACUCUGUUCCUUGUCUCCCUCUCGUUUCUCCUCCUCUCUUCUUCUCGAUCACCUCACCGCCAUUUUCCCCGACAUGGAUACUCAUAUUCUUGAGCGAGCAAUCAACGAAUGUUGGAGAUGAUUUUGAUUCUGCUAUUAGAUCUUUGAACCAGCUGGCAGCUUCAUUUAGAAUCCGCCAAUCAAAAACCUGAAUUAUCUCUAGUCCAGGAAGAAGCAAAAGUUGCAGUACGAGGAGCAGGAGGAUCAUCAGGGAAGGAGGAAGUCUUGAACUUGGAGGUAUGCAAAAUUGACACGAACCAUACAGCAGCAAGUUUUUAAUGGUAGUGAGCUUCGUUCAACAAUGUUUGAGGAAUCUUUCAGAGUGUGCCGCUCAAAGAUUGUGUUAUGAUAGAUCAAAUUGAACUCCACAAUAUUACUCACUUUCAGUUCACCAUGAAAGGAUGUUAGACAAACGUUUACUCUUAAUUACCAACA
Long non-coding RNA from Brassica napus (rape), 923 nucleotides. RefSeq lists it as uncharacterized. The transcript is spliced from 2 exons. NCBI's taxonomy places the organism in Eukaryota, Viridiplantae, Streptophyta, Magnoliopsida, Brassicales, Brassicaceae. The record is from RefSeq and is a predicted model, not a curated record.